Molecule: ribosomal RNA, 468 nt
Filed under: uncultured Desulfovibrio sp.
Lineage: Bacteria; Pseudomonadati; Thermodesulfobacteriota; Desulfovibrionia; Desulfovibrionales; Desulfovibrionaceae
Description: bacterial SSU rRNA
Rfam family: Bacterial small subunit ribosomal RNA
Source: RNAcentral
CCCGCACAAGCGGUGGAGUAUGUGGUUUAAUUCGACGCAACGCGCAGAACCUUUACCUGGUCUUGACAUCCCGAGAAUCUUCUGGAAACAGUUGAGUGCCUUCAACCGAAGGAGCUUGGAGACAGGUGCUGCAUGGCUGUCGUCAGCUCGUGUCGUGAGAUGUUGGGUUAAGUCCCGCAACGAGCGCAACCCUCGCCUUUAGUUGCCAGCAUUAAGUUGGGCACUCUAGAGGGACUGCCGGUGUCAAACCGGAGGAAGGUGGGGAUGACGUCAAGUCCUCAUGGCCUUUAUGACCAGGGCUACACACGUACUACAAUGGCCGGCACAAAGGGCAGCAAGCCUGCGAAGGUAAGCUAAUCCCGAAAAACCGGUCUCAGUCCGGAUCGCAGUCUGCAACUCGACUGCGUGAAGUUGGAAUCGCUAGUAAUCGUGGAUCAGCAUGCCACGGUGAAUACGUUCCCGGGCCUU